GCUAACCAUUUCACCUCGGACUGCUUUCUCAACAAGGGCCAGUACAAUGCAGGAUUUGCUACAAGUCUCAAGAUAAAGCUUGGAUCAGUACCGACUGUCCGUGACCCAACUUUGAACUUGGGAGCUCACAUCAAGUGCAUCUAUACAGCUUCCUGCAACAAGGGAUGUUGCAUGCCUGACUGACCCACUGUAGGCACACAGUUAUCCUUGAAGACUCUUCAGCCUCACAUCAGAAGUACAGACUCUACCUGGCUGCCACGUACUACAAUGAAAAUGCUGACCGACCACAAGCCCAAACAAAAGAAGGAGAACCACUGUUCAAGGUCCAAUUUCCAAAGAAGCUGCUUUGGCCAUCCCCAUCCCAGAGGACCUCACUGCACAGUUUGAGCGGCCUGAGAGGAGAAGGAGGAGGUCAUAUCCAGCUCUGUGUCCCGGUUCUAUCAUGGGGCAGUCUAAAACCCACGUACUGGCAUGUGGCGUCAGGAAACUCGGCAUGGAUGCGCAGGAUCACGCAGGCUGGAAUGACGACCCAGAUUCUGCGACCAAGGAAGCCCCAGCACCAGCUCACAAAGCUCCUAUAGGCUAGAUACCUGUACUGACUAAAACAACUGGACAGGGCAUUUAGUCUUGCAAACAUAUAUCUAUGAUGUGUCUCACAAAUUUUUUUAUGGAUCCAGUGAAUCCUACAGUGCCUCAUUUGAUGUAAAUAAAUACUUGAUUGUUACUAAAGAAAUGACUCCUCUGAAUUCAUAUAUUAUAUGCACACUAUCUGCUGAUAGAAGAACUUUACAAAUCAAAGAGCAGCUAAACUAAUUCAUUUGAGGGUGUGUUACUCUAUUUGUGGUGUGUUAUUACCAUUGUAAAAUAAUGUGCACUGAAGUAAAACAAGACUGCCUAACAUCUUUUAUUUAGAUUGAAACUAUGUUUUAACAAAGAAGCAAAACGUACUGGUGUAUUCCUCUCAACCAUAAAGGACCGUAGUCAGCGCGGUACAUGUUGCAGGGAUUGUGGAGGGAGUACACAUUGAGGCAGAGCAGCUCCAACCCAGGACGGUCUACCAUACAUGGUAAAUCUUUGUCGAUCUCCCAUAGCCGUC
Molecule: long non-coding RNA, 1096 nt
Organism: Seriola aureovittata
Lineage: Eukaryota; Metazoa; Chordata; Actinopteri; Carangiformes; Carangidae
Exons: 4
Source: RefSeq, a predicted model, not a curated record